UGACUGUCCGAUCAUGCAAAGUUUGUCAGCGCGCAUAAUCAAGUGCAUUCAUCUUCUUUUACGAUUCUUCGGUGGAACAAAUGUGGAGCAAAUUAAGGCAGAAUUUGCAGCUUUGAUUCCAAUAUAUCCUAUAUACAACUCGUUACUAUUUGCACGGCGGCACUUAAGCGGGGCAGAUGUAUCGACGCGUUAUCCUCCCCAACUAUCCUCAAUCCUUAUUACUCCUCUCAGUUUCUUACCUUCCUUCCCUUUUUCUAUCGUUACUUGUAGCGUACAUGGCAUUGUGUCAAACACGUAUUCCGUGCGAUGAGCGAUAUUCAAGUUUAACUUAUAAUGUCCUAAUAUGACAAAAUACACGUCGGGAGUGUCGGCUAAAAUAUCGUGUGACUAUUGUAAUAUCGUUCCGCCGUAAUUUUUCGCAGUAGUAUAAAACGCGUGUCGGGAGUGCGUUUAAAGUGCCGUGCGUCACGAACGUGUGUGAAUACCUUCAAGACCACUGAGAGGAGGAAGAGGCUCGAGAGGAACAUCGGGCGCCGGCGGAGCAAC
Long non-coding RNA from Linepithema humile (Argentine ant), 546 nucleotides. RefSeq lists it as uncharacterized. The record is from RefSeq and is a predicted model, not a curated record. NCBI's taxonomy places the organism in Eukaryota, Metazoa, Arthropoda, Insecta, Hymenoptera, Formicidae.